RNAcentral lists this ribosomal RNA (371 nucleotides) under uncultured organism. RNAcentral's name for it is "bacterial SSU rRNA". It matches the Rfam family "Bacterial small subunit ribosomal RNA", at positions 526 to 896 of the family's 1533-position model. The record is from RNAcentral.
CAGAGGGUGCGAGCGUUAAUCGGAAUUACUGGGCGUAAAGCGCGCGUAGGCGGCUUUGCAAGUCGGGUGUGAAAUCCCCAGGCUUAACCUGGGAACUGCAUUCGAGACUGCAUUACUAGAGUAUGGGAGAGGGAAGUGGAAUUUCCGGUGUAGCGGUGAAAUGCGUAGAUAUCGGAAGGAACAUCAGUGGCGAAAGCGACUUCCUGGACCAAUACUGACGCUCACGUGCGAAAGCGUGGGGAGCAAACAGGAUUAGAUACCCUGGUAGUCCACGCCAUAAACGAUGAGAACUGGAUGUCGGGAGGGUCUGCCUCUCGGUGUCGUAGCUAACGCGUUAAGUUCUCCGCCUGGGGAGUACGGCCGCAAGGUUG